RNAcentral lists this unclassified non-coding RNA (469 nucleotides) under Hevea brasiliensis (rubber tree). Lineage: Eukaryota; Viridiplantae; Streptophyta; Magnoliopsida; Malpighiales; Euphorbiaceae. The record is from RNAcentral.
CUAGGUCCUCAUCCAUCAGAAAUCUGUUCAUGGUAUAUUCACAUCUAGUCAAAAGAACCCUGAUUGAGAUUUUGCUGACUUCAGAUCUUGUCGAGCUCCAAUCACCAGCUUCAUUAUCGUAACUGCUCAAGAAAAACAACUUCUGCAAGCAAGCCAGGGAAAAUCUGCUACAAUGAAAUGGCAUAAGUUCCACGGUUUCAAUGGGCAAAGAGCAUGUGCGUGAUGCACAACGGUCCAUGGUGGAAACUAGUCGCUCCAGAAUAUCAACAGGUGCAUCAAUUGGUGAUUUAAGAAUCUUAUCACCCAGAACAUGCAGAAUGGUCAUCUCCAGUGCCUCAUCAGCCUUAAGUGCUUCAGCUGAGAGAGAGUUGGAAGGUAUGGCACGACCACAAUAGCCUACCAGGAAUAUUUCAUAAACAUCUGCUAUUUCUUUCCAGACACGUGUUCUCAUAGGUCUAUUAAUUCUGGA